Molecule: ribosomal RNA, 166 nt
Filed under: Gymnura natalensis (butterfly ray)
Lineage: Eukaryota; Metazoa; Chordata; Chondrichthyes; Myliobatiformes; Gymnuridae
Description: partial small subunit ribosomal RNA
Source: RNAcentral
UUUACCGGCGUUAAGGGUGAUUAGAAAAAAUCUCAUUUUUAAAUAAAGUUAAGGCCUCAUCAAGCUGUCAUACGCUCCCAUGCUUAAAAACACCAUUCACGAAAGUAACUUUAACACAACAGAAUUUUUGACCUCACGACAGUUAAGACCCAAACUAGGAUUAGAA